Molecule: ribosomal RNA, 253 nt
Filed under: uncultured bacterium
Lineage: Bacteria
Description: partial 16S ribosomal RNA
Rfam family: Bacterial small subunit ribosomal RNA
Source: RNAcentral
GACAGAGGUGCCAAGCGUUAGGCGGAAUCACUGGGCUUAAAGCGUGUGUAGGCGGAUGUCUAAGUACCUUGUGAAAUCCCACGGCUCAACCGUGGAACUGCUUGGUAUACUGGACGUCUUGAGCCAGCUAGGGGCUACCGUAACAAAUGGUGGAGCGGUGAAAUGCGUAGAUAUCAGGAAGAACACCUAUGGCGAAGGCAGCUCUCUGGGACGGUACUGACGCUGAGACGCGAAAGCGUGGGGAGCGAACAGG